RNAcentral lists this ribosomal RNA (249 nucleotides) under uncultured soil bacterium. RNAcentral describes it as "partial 16S ribosomal RNA". It matches the Rfam family "Bacterial small subunit ribosomal RNA", at positions 990 to 1247 of the family's 1533-position model. The record is from RNAcentral.
CGGUUAGGGGAGACACUAUCCUUCAGUUCGGCCGGAUCGGAGACAGGUGCUGCAUGGCCGUCGUCAGCUCGUGUCGUGAGAUGUUGGGUUAAGUCCCGCAACGAGCGCAACCCUUACCGUUAGUUGCCAGCAUUCAGUUGGGCACUUGAGGGGACCGCCGGUGACACCCGGGGGGAGGGGGGGGAAGGGUCAUCGUGAAGAACCUUACGACCAGGGCUACCCACGUGCUACAAUUCCGGUACAGAGGGG